AUGUGCCACUCCGGUUUAUUUUUGAUAUUAAUUGCUCCUUCUAACAUAACAUUAUACUCCCUCCAGAGAGCUGCGUCUUCACUCUUUUGGCCUACUUACUGCAUCUGUUGCACCCCCAGCCCUGGUUGCUGCUGCUGCUGUUUUCAAUGUACAAUCAGUAGUAUAUUUCAUCUGUUGGUUGAAUAA
Molecule: ribosomal RNA, 186 nt
Filed under: Triticum aestivum (bread wheat)
Lineage: Eukaryota; Viridiplantae; Streptophyta; Magnoliopsida; Poales; Poaceae
Description: partial small subunit ribosomal RNA
Source: RNAcentral